ACGGGGCCCGCACAAGCGGUGGAUUAUGUGGAUUAAUUCGAUGCAACGCGAAAAACCUUACCUACCCUUGACAUGCUAGGAACUUGCCAGAGAUGGCUUGGUGCCCGAAAGGGAACCUAGACACAGGUGCUGCAUGGCUGUCGUCAGCUCGUGUCGUGAGAUGUUGGGUUAAGUCCCGCAACGAGCGCAACCCUUAUCAUUAGUUGCUACGCAAGGGCACUCUAAUGAGACUGCCGGUGACAAACCGGAGGAAGGUGGGGAUGACGUCAAGUCCUCAUGGCCCUUAUGGGUAGGGCUUCACACGUCAUACAAUGGUCGGUACAGAGGGUUGCCAAGCCGCGAGGCGGAGCCAAUCCCACAAAGCCGAUCGUAGCCCGGAUUGUAGUCUGCAACUCGACUACGUGAAGUCGGAAUCGCUAGUAAUCGUGGAUCAGAAUGUCACGGUGAAUACGUUCCCGGGUCUU
Molecule: ribosomal RNA, 464 nt
Filed under: uncultured Limnobacter sp.
Lineage: Bacteria; Pseudomonadati; Pseudomonadota; Betaproteobacteria; Burkholderiales; Burkholderiaceae
Description: bacterial SSU rRNA
Rfam family: Bacterial small subunit ribosomal RNA
Source: RNAcentral